Molecule: ribosomal RNA, 839 nt
Filed under: Hirsutella rhossiliensis
Lineage: Eukaryota; Fungi; Ascomycota; Sordariomycetes; Hypocreales; Ophiocordycipitaceae
Description: eukaryotic LSU rRNA
Rfam family: Eukaryotic large subunit ribosomal RNA
Source: RNAcentral
UGCCCCAGUAACGGCGAGUGAAGCGGCAACAGCUCAAAUUUGAAAUCUGGCCCCCCCCCGCGGGGCCCGAGUUGUAAUUUGCAGAGGAUGCUUUUGGCGCGGCGCCUUCCGAGUUCCCUGGAACGGGACGCCAUAGAGGGUGAGAGCCCCGUCUGGUCGGACGCCCAGCCUCUGUAAAGCUCCUUCGACGAGUCGAGUAGUUUGGGAAUGCUGCUCUAAAUGGGAGGUAUAUGUCUUCUAAAGCUAAAUACUGGCCAGAGACCGAUAGCGCACAAGUAGAGUGAUCGAAAGAUGAAAAGCACUUUGAAAAGAGGGUUAAACAGUACGUGAAAUUGUUGAAAGGGAAGCGCUUGUGACCAGACAUGGGCGCGGCGAAUCAUCCGGCGUUCUCGCCGGUGCACUUCGCCGCGCCCGGGCCAGCAUCAGUUCGCGGCGGGGGACAAAGGCGCCGGGAACGUGGCUCCCCCGGGAGUGUUAUAGCCCGGCGCGCAAUGCCCCGCGGCGGACUGAGGUUCGCGCAUCCGCAAGGAUGCUGGCGUAAUGGUCACCAGUGACCCGUCUUGAAACACGGACCAAGGAGUCGUCCUCGUAUGCGAGUGUUCGGGUGUCAAACCCCUACGCGCAAUGAAAGUGAACGCAGGUGAGAGCCUCACGGCGCAUCAUCGACCGAUCCUGAUGUUCUCGGAUGGAUUUGAGUAAGAGCAUACGGGGCCGGACCCGAAAGAAGGUGAACUAUGCCUGUGUAGGGUGAAGCCAGAGGAAACUCUGGUGGAGGCUCGCAGCGGUUCUGACGUGCAAAUCGAUCGUCAAACAUGGGCAUGGGGGCGAAAGACUAAUCG